RNAcentral lists this ribosomal RNA (477 nucleotides) under uncultured bacterium. RNAcentral describes it as "partial 16S ribosomal RNA". It matches the Rfam family "Bacterial small subunit ribosomal RNA", at positions 28 to 523 of the family's 1533-position model. The record is from RNAcentral.
GAUGAACGCUGGCGGCGUGCCUAACACAUGCAAGUCGAACGUGAGGGGGUAGCAGUAUCCCUGAAAGUGGCGAACGGGUGAGUAACACGUAGGUAACCUGCCGCGCAGAGGGGGAUAACGACUGGAAACGGUCGCUAAUACCGCAUGGUACUGGGAGAACGGGAGUUCUUCUGGUUAAAACCGAGGUGCUGCGCGAGGGGCCUGCGUCCGAUUAGCUAGUUGGUGAGGUAAGAGCUCACCAAGGCGAUGAUCGGUAGCUGGUCUGAGAGGAUGAUCAGCCACACGGGAACUGAGACACGGUCCCGACUCCUACGGGGGGCAGCAGUGAGGAAUAUUGCGCAAUGGACGAAAGUCUGACGCAGCAACGCCGCGUGGAGGAUGAAGGUCUUUGGAUUGUAAACUCCUUUUCUCAGGGAAGAGAUGGGACGGUACCUGAGGAAUAAGUCACGGCUAACUACGUGCCAGCCGCCGCAGUAA